UGCGCCUGCCCUUCGCAGCCGCACGCCCAGGCCGUGCCCUUUCGGGCGGCUUCUCCUCCUUGGCUUUCCUCAGCAAGCCCUCCUCCAGCGGACACGCGCAUCCGUUUCGCCAACGCCCCUUUACCCUCCCUCUGUAGCCGGCUCUCUGGCCCCUCGUGGCUGUGGCUGUGCUCCUCGCCUGGAGCCAGGGCUGCGGGGAGGGGCGAUAGGGCAACAGGGCUCGAAAAGGCUUUUAAAAGAUAAAGCCGGUCUCAGCCUUGCUAAGUAGAGCCGAGAGGGAAAGAUCUGGCGCCCUCUGGGCUUGCGAGGAGCCAGCAGCAUCGCGCCCCCUGCCGGCCAGUGAGGGGGCCGCCCCUCCCCGGAAGAAGAGGGCGGGGCCGCCAGAGAAAGACGCAUCCAACCUGGAUCAGGAUCGGCGACUCUGGGAGUUUUACUGGAGCAGCUAGUGAAUAAAUUGGCUCCGCGAUUCAGAGAGCAUCAACCUAGGGUGGGAUCAAGGCUGGCCGAUCCCACACGCCCACACCCCGCACUGCGCACGCAGCGAAGAUUGCUCAGGCUCUGGGGAAUGAAGGUAUUGGAGCGCUGGCAGCCCCUGGAGACCAUUCCCCUGCGCUGCGUCGUCACGUGGCCUUGCUGACGGGACCCAUGCAGGAUCCUGGGCCUCAGAUUCCUUCCAGGAACUGAGAUGGAAGGAGCUGUCUCGGGAAGUUUCAAUGACCUGCCCAAAGUCAGAGAGCUCCUAAGUGAGAAGCAGCCUAGAAUAAUGGUGAGCCCUUCAAAUUAAAUAAAAACCAAGUCUCCACCAUUAGAAACCUGCUUCAUGCUGCAAACUAAGAAAGCAUCUCUCUCUUCGCUCACUUCACCUGAUUUAUAACUACCUCACUUGGCCCCUUACCCACUCUUCUCCCUGGGACCACAGAAGGGUCACCACAGCUCUCUCUACCCCUCCAGUGAGAAUCCUCACAUUCAGAGUCGUGGUCCUGUGCACGUGGCCCCCUUUGCUAGGCCCUGGGCUGAGGAUCGCAUGGGGUUAGAGUUGGGGGUCUGUGGCUGGAUGGGUGUUGAGGCUCUCUGCUCCAAGUGUAUUGUAUAGCCCCCAGUAGUAGGGAGGGACUGGAGGCAGUGGGGCUGAGUAACGGGUACUGCCCCAUUAUCUUCCAGGGAUGAAAGUUGAGACUUUGAGUCCUGACACUCCAAUAGACCUCAAGCAAUGUGUGGGGAGGCUGCACAGCAGGAGCCCAGUGGUCCUUGGGGAAAUCAGACCCACACAUGGCCUGCAGGGUGAAGAGAAGGAAAUGGAAGGCAGCUCCAACUGCUGGGCUCCCCAAAUAAUUGUCUUGACUCCUUGAGCCUCUUUUUUGCCACAGAUCAUAUGAAGAAGGGGUCCUCUUGUACUGUUUUAUCCAGAAGGGCAGUGGCUAAGGAGGAACACACUAACUAGAAAGCAUAAGUCCUUUGGCCAAAUGCAACCCAGCCUGAGCAACAAGCCAGCCUCCACCCCAAGGCACCAGGGGCCCCUUGCCAGAUGGAGAUGCUACGGAAAAAGAAAAGGACCAUGGAGUGCUGUCUGUUCUGUGCCCUGUGGCUCCAGCUGCCAGUCUUUCCUACCCAGGGAGUCAUCUCUGCUUCCUCUUAGGAGCUCAGGGGUCAUGAAGUCCUGCCUGCUGCUAAAGGAACCCGGGGAGCACAGCUCAUGGUUGCCAGUUGCUACCACAGCGGAGUCUGUGGCCAAGGUGGCAGGAUUUGCCUAUGUCUGUCCCAGGGAAGCGAAGGGAUGAAUAUGUGCCUCUGGGCAGAAAAUGAAAACCAGAGUCAAGGGAAAGAAACUAAAUGUGUGUAAAGUUUUCGAAAGUGAGCCUAGAGAAUGGCUGAAUAACUUCCUGAAAUCUCUUCCAGGCCUAUCCUCCAGCCAUGCACAGCCACCUCCAGGUCUUAUUCUGGCUCUGCCUGGAACAUCCCUCCCCACUUCGUCUUCUAUGGAAAUUAUCCCCUAGAAUUAUUUGAUCCUUCCAGAUUCAGUUUGGUGUCAUCUCCUGCAGGAAACCUAUCCUGUCCCCUGCUACACUCAACACAGACCUGCAGUGAGGCCACUUCCCUUCUCACUUUUGUAUUGUUAUUAUCCAAUUAUAGGUAUGUUUUUCCCCAGCAGACUGUCAGUUCCUGAAGGGCACAAUCUACAGCCUCAAUCUCUGAUGCCUCGGCUUAGAAUGUUAUUUGUCAUAUGGAAGGGACUCUGUAAAUGUUUACAGAAUAACAAUAUUGGCUUCAAUGGAUCAAAGGACAUGAAUAUCCUUUUGGCUCUUGACAUAUUGCAAACUGCCUUCCAAAAGGUUUACACCUAUUUACAAUGCCAUCUGCUAUGCAUAGAAUAUAGGUUUCACUGCAACCUUGCUAUUUUAUUAGGAGAAAUUGUGUCCUAGUGUUUUAACAUGCAUAUCACUACUAGUGAUAUCUCCCCAAUGUUCACGUCAUUAGUCCUAAAUCUCUGUUGUGAAUUGUCUCUUUAUAUCCCAGUAAUCAUUUUCUGACAGCUUGCUAAAGCUUCAGCCAAAUUUCUUUCUCCCCCUAAGCAAGGAGCCACAGGCUCUUCGAAUGGAGGACUUUUCCCCUAAACUAUGUAGAUGCAUAUCAGUGUGCCCAGAAGGCAGUUUACAAUCUAAGUUUGCUUUCAGGCCUUAGACAGUUAAGAUUUCCACACUACAGACUCUAUUUUCUUGGCAGGAGCUAUAGAUAAGAAAUACAGUCUGACUUUUUUCAACAGAUCCUUAAAAUUUCUGGAAAAGUGCAAGUCUAUAAAAAUGACCCUUUCCUGCUAGCCCUUGAAAUUCACCAAGUCUGUUCUCUAGAACUUCUCCCCUUAAGCCUCUGGAUGGACAGGGAGAGCAGGAGUAGGAGGAAGUGGCAUCGUCAGAGCAGAGCUCAAGGACGUGUCCACACUGAGAACUCCUUAGCCAGCUUUGCGGUCAGUUGGUUAACUUGUUGUGAUAUGAAUUUAAAGGACGAAGUCCUUUUCCCUAAAAAGUGUAGCCUGCGAUCCUGUUCUAUCCCUCUGCCUCCUCGGUAUGGGUCUCCUCGUUUCCUCUGAUGGGCAGUUAUGGAAAGAACACAUACUAUUUUACCACGUGACAAUGACUUUUCGCAGUACAUACUUGAUAGCAUUAGAGAAAAUUCAUAGACACUAGCUCACUCCACACAGCUCAGCUUGGCACAGUCUCAUGGGGCUUUGAAGCCUGCUCUGGUUCAUCUCAAAGUUCACACGUACUGCCAGUCCCCGUUGCAGGCCACAGCUAUUUAUCCCCUGAUCUCUGAAGAAGCAGGCUUCUUUCAGUCUGAACUCUGGGCCCAGUCUUCAUGGCUCGAGUAGAAACUACCUUCCUUAUGUCCAUGCAAAGCCAACUCAAGAGUUUGUCUGUUACGUUUAGAGAACAUUUCUAAACUAGUCUCUUUGUGGCCAACAGUUCUAAACUUCUCCCGCCGUGAAGCUGUCUCUCCCUUAUCUGUACCCUAAUGAAACUCUUCUUAAAAUUCGCCAACUCUAGGACAUCCAAGGAGCCAGCAACACAUCUUUUUCAGGCACUCAUUCCAGUCACUCAAAAAAUAUUUGUUCAGAUACUUACUAGGAACCCACCAUGACUAUGUACCUGAUUUUGCCUAAGUGCCGAAGAUACAGCCAGAGCUACCCUUGGAGCCAGAACAUAUGAAAUAAUAAAUUUACUAGAGAAUACAGAGGUCCCUCUGUCCCUUGGGAUCUAGUGCAACCCAUGAUGCUAAAUCUUUGCUUUCAUGACCGCCCUGGAUCUAGUGCAAGGGAAACACUUCUCCACAUCUCUUGCCCAAGAUCCUUAAAAGAUGACUAUGUCUGAAUGAUGAGACUGCUUGUAGAUUGUGCCUCUAUCAGGACUAGAGAUAGACAAAGCUUCCAAGUGCUGGGAGGAUCUGGCAGCAGAGGCAGAUUGGUAAAGAAAAGACUAACGUUAAAUUCUUCCUCUCAGAUAGCAUGACUGCGAUGCAUUUUAACAUUAUGAUCAUGAUGCCAAGCAUCUAUUUUCUUCUUUCCCUUCAUGUUCCAGUGCACAUUUCUGAAGGUACUCACAAAUUAGCACAAUAUCGCCAACAGUUGUACAGGGCAGCUGAGGCGUAUUUUGCAAUAUUCAACAAUUUUAGUCUUAAAUUGAUAUAUUUGUAGGUUUGGACAGCAUGUAUGAAAUUUGCCACUCUUUAAAUACUUUAUAUAUCUAGAUAGAGCUUUAAGAAGUGGUAAAAAUUUCAAUGUAAGUCAUAGCACUUCAUAUGAUAAAGUUAAAAUAAUCAAUAGUAUUUCCUGUGAUCAUAUUAAUUUAACACAUGCAACCCCAUUCCAAUGGUAGACCAUGAUAUGUAAAAUUCACAAUUUAUUCCCAUAUCUAAAUAUUGAUUCAAAAUUGUACUGACAAUACCAGUUGCCAUGGCUUUAACAGUGUGAAAUACCUUCAAAUUGAAAUUAAUUUUUAAAAAACUAUCUAAUAACUAUAAUUACUUAAGAAACAUUUGACAUCCAAAGCUGUCAGAAGAACGUAAGUUAUGUGAAAAUCUAGACUGUAACAAGACAGGAGUUUGCAAGCCAUCAACUGGUAUGGAGAAGAUUAUGUAGACAUUAGAGAGCUGUUCCUGGUACAGAGGGUUUGUGUGACUAUAGAAAGGAGGCUUGAGGAGAAGUACAUUAGAUUCCAGGGCUCUUCAUAUAUUUCUGAGUCACCGAUGCUAUCAGCAUUUAAUGUAAUGCACAGAGUUGGGAGAUUUCAAGCAAGAGUGAGUCAUGCACUUUUUGUGCCCUCCCAUCCCAGGAGCCCUUAGGGUCCUCUUCAGCUGCCUCUACUUUCAGUCAUUAAAGCUUUCUUUUCUUCCCGUGACUAUUUCCAAUCCCUUCCCCAAGAUCCUGACACCAAGACCAAGACCGUUUUCAGUUUGAGGCCUAUAAUAUCAAGAAGUGGGAUAAAGCUAGAGAAUGGCUCCAUCAAGGGAACAUCAGGGUCAGGAAAAGGAAAAAUCUUGAUCAUUUUUAGAAGAUAUGAAUCACCAGCAAGGACUGAGAGAGGGCUGUAAGGGAGCAGAAGAUGAACGUGAUUUCUGAAUGAGCUUGAAAUGAGGAAGGAUGGAAUGAGAACCACAGGACAGGAGGGAGAGCUGAGUUAGCUGGGGUGUAGUGACUAGAAGCCAGAUUCAGGAGUGAACCUUGAUUUACUCAACCUUGAGAGAUAGUUUGCAAAUGAAGAAAAUUAGAAUCACCAGAGUUGAAAAAUAAAAAUAAAAUUAGGAUGGGAGAUAUGCAGGAUGGAAAAAAGAUAAGAGGGAAAGCUAGUUGGAAUCACAAGAGAAUCAAUGUGGAAGAGUUUUCAAGUCUCCUCAGCCCUUUUGCGCCUCCCUCACCCCUCAGUAUCCACUCCUAUGCAUGUAUUUUUUAUAUAUUUAAAUAGACCCCCCCCCCCACCCGAGAUAAUGGGACCUCCAACGGCCCUCCCACCUGGAGCCACCUUUUCAUAUUUUGCCGCCAAUAGAUCGUUCUCUGAAGUAACCCUUUGGAGCUCCCCUACCUUUCCACUGCUCACAAGCUGAGAUUUGGUUGGAUAUUACGGUUCUAUAAUGAUAAUUUGAGAAGAAAGGGAGAUGGGGAACAACACCAAAGAGAAACCAGAGUUAGGGACUAUCCCAGAGCAGGGAAGGACGUGGUCAGUCAGAGACCAACAUGGGAUCCAGACACACCGAGGAACAAAAGCCUAAGAGCUCCAGAGACAAUUCCUGCCAGCUCAGCCCUCUCCUGAAGGCAGAUCCCCAUGUCUUGCCUCUCUCACUAUAGGAAACAGUCCCUGGCUCCUGGCUCCUGGCUCUGGUCUGAUGGAGCACAAGGAACAGCUGCUGGAAUUGGAGUGGGUUGGUAUAUGUGAGUGUGCCAACCAGCCAGGGGCCCUGACAUCCCCCAACUGACCUGAGGGAGGAGUCCCUGGCCACUAGCAAAGGUGACACAAAAGGGAUGCAGCCAGGGGUUACGCCUCCAAGGCCCAGUCUGUGGGGAUGCUUAAAAACACCACUUGUAGAUCAUUUCGUUUUUAUUUCAGUUUUGUUCUAAGUUGCUAGCUUCAGAUUUGUUGAAUGUCAAAUAAAGAAUGCUUUCUACUUUUACUAUA
Molecule: non-coding RNA, 6161 nt
Organism: Equus caballus (horse)
Lineage: Eukaryota; Metazoa; Chordata; Mammalia; Perissodactyla; Equidae
Source: RefSeq, a predicted model, not a curated record